Molecule: ribosomal RNA, 525 nt
Filed under: Epinephelus amblycephalus
Lineage: Eukaryota; Metazoa; Chordata; Actinopteri; Perciformes; Serranidae
Description: partial 16S ribosomal RNA
Rfam family: Bacterial large subunit ribosomal RNA
Source: RNAcentral
GGUAUUUUGACCGUGCGAAGGUAGCGCAAUCACUUGUCUCUUAAAUGGGGACCUGUAUGAAUGGCAUAACGAGGGCUUGACUGUCUCCUCUUUCAAGUCAAUGAAAUUGAUCUCCCCGUGCAGAAGCGGGGAUAUACACAUAAGACGAGAAGACCCUAUGGAGCUUUAGACACUAAAGUAGAUCAGCAUUAAUACCCUAAAUACAGGACACGAAUAAACUGAACCCUACCCUAAUGUCUUAGGUUGGGGCGACCGCGGAGUAAUAAAAAACCCCCGCAAGGACCGAAUGUACUACAUUCACAACCAAGAGUGACAGCUCUAAUUAACAGAUACUUCUGACCAAUAAGAUCCGGCAACGCCGAUCAAUGGACCAAGUUACCCUAGGGAUAACAGCGCAAUCUCCUCUUAGAGCCCGUAUCAACGAGGGGGUUUACGACCUCGAUGUUGGAUCAGGACAUCCUAAUGGUGCAGCCGCUAUUAAGGGUUCGUUUGUUCAACGAUUAAAGUCCUACGUGAUCUGAGUUC